RNAcentral lists this long non-coding RNA (469 nucleotides) under Macaca nemestrina (pig-tailed macaque). RNAcentral describes it as "lncRNA (ENSMNEG00000046007.1)". The record is from RNAcentral. Lineage: Eukaryota; Metazoa; Chordata; Mammalia; Primates; Cercopithecidae.
AUCAAGCCUUAGUUUUCUUUCUGGAUUUAAGAGGUCCUGGAGUCUUAAUGAUAUUCAUCUACUAUCACUUUCGGCUUAAACAGCUAAUGACAGUGCAUGUUAUGUUUGAUCAGUUCUUCUCUCCCGGAGAACGUGAAAACAGAGCAAGACGCUGACACUACGAAACGUCAGGAGAACCCGGACUCUGCUGAGGUUUUAUAUCACAUUGGAAGUGGAUUCCUCUGUGCCUCCUGUUUCCCCUUUGACAUUGAUAUGAUGAAGAGAUCUAAAAGAUUACCUGUGUCCUCCUUCUGGAUUUGGAUGAUCAAUUCUUCAUGGGCAAGCUUUCUUAGAUGAAGAAGCCAGACAUGGAAGACACCAUUGGAAGUAUUUGAUACACACAUGCCUUUCUUUGAGACCAGUUAACAGGUUUGUUGAGUUGUUUCUUUAUUAAUUUAUUUUUCAAUGCCAGUUUAUAGGGUACUUAAAU